Molecule: ribosomal RNA, 433 nt
Filed under: uncultured bacterium
Lineage: Bacteria
Description: partial 16S ribosomal RNA
Rfam family: Bacterial small subunit ribosomal RNA
Source: RNAcentral
AACGAACGCUGGCGGCAUGCCUAACACAUGCAAGUCGAACGAGACCUUCGGGUCUAGUGGCGCACGGGUGCGUAACGCGUGGGAACCUGCCCUUAGGUUCGGAAUAACUCCCCGAAAGGGGUGCUAAUACCGGAUAAUGUCUUCGGACCAAAGAUUUAUCGCCUUUGGAUGGGCCCGCGUUGGAUUAGCUAGUUGGUAGGGUAAAAGCCUACCAAGGCGACGAUCCAUAGCUGGUCUGAGAGGAUGAUCAGCCACACUGGGACUGAGACAGGGCCCAGACUCCGACGGGAGGCAGCAGUGGGGAAUAUUGGACAAUGGGCGAAAGCCUGAUCCAGCAAUGCCGCGUGAGUGAUGAAGGCCUUAGGGUUGUAAAGCUCUUUUACCCGGGAUGAGAAUGACAGGACCGGGAGAAUAAGCUCAGGCUAACUCCGUG